Molecule: long non-coding RNA, 238 nt
Filed under: Elaeis guineensis (African oil palm)
Lineage: Eukaryota; Viridiplantae; Streptophyta; Magnoliopsida; Arecales; Arecaceae
Description: long non-coding RNA (EGUI_LNC045568)
Source: RNAcentral
CGAACGACUUUACUCCGAACUUCUUUUGGGCUUCAUCGACGUCCGAGCUUCUCCAACAACAGGACUUCUUCAAUAACCAGACUCCAUCCAAGUUUCUACAGCGGUCAACUGCCUUUCGGAUUUCAUGCAAGCUAAUUUCAUCCGAGCUCCAACGAGAGCCGAAUCCCAGCCGAACUUCUACAGUGAAUGGAUCACAGACAAACUUCUACAACGGGAUAGGCUCCACCAGCCGGGUAUC